UACGUAGGGGGCAAGCGUUGUCCGGAAUUAUUGGGCGUAAAGCGCGCGCAGGCGGUCUUUUAAGUUUGGGGUCUAAUCCCGGGGCUCAACCCCGGGCCGCCCUGAAAACUGGGAGGCUAUGAGUGUAGGAGAGGAAAGUGGAAUUCCACGUGUAGCGGUGAAAUGCGUAGAGAUGUGGAGGAACACCAGUGGCGAAGGCGACUUUCUGGCCUAUAACUGACGCUGAGGCGCGAAAGCGUGGGGAGCAAACAGG
Molecule: ribosomal RNA, 253 nt
Filed under: uncultured bacterium
Lineage: Bacteria
Description: partial 16S ribosomal RNA
Rfam family: Bacterial small subunit ribosomal RNA
Source: RNAcentral